GCUACGUGCUGUGCAACAGCGUCGGGAAGAGCGAGGGGUCGUGCGUUGGACGAAAUUAUUGGGCGGAAAGGUCUUGGAGGGGGUUUGUCGAGGUUGCGGUGAAAAGCCGGGGCUCAACCCCGGACUGGCAGUGGGGGCGGGCAGACUAGAGUGUGGUAGGGGAGACUGGAAUUCCUGGUGUAGCGGUGAAAUGCGCAGAUAUCAGGAGGAACACCGAUGGCGAAGGCAGGUCUCUGGGCCACUACUGACGCUGAGAAGCGAAAGCGUGGGGAGCGAACAGGAUUAGAUACCCCAGUAGUC
This 300-nucleotide ribosomal RNA is filed under the name uncultured Methanomassiliicoccus sp. RNAcentral describes it as "bacterial SSU rRNA". It matches the Rfam family "Bacterial small subunit ribosomal RNA", at positions 496 to 795 of the family's 1533-position model. The record is from RNAcentral. Lineage: Archaea; Methanobacteriati; Thermoplasmatota; Thermoplasmata; Methanomassiliicoccales; Methanomassiliicoccaceae.